CGGACGGGUGAGUAAUGCAUAGGAAUCUACCUAAUAGUGGGGGACAACCUGGUGAAAACCAGGCUAAUACCGCAUAAUCCCUACGGGGCAAAGCAGGGGACCUUCGGGCCUUGCGCUAAUAGAUGAGCCUAUGUCGGAUUAGCUAGUUGGUGGGGUAAAGGCCUACCAAGGCGACGAUCCGUAGCUGGUUUGAGAGAAUGAUCAGCCACACUGGGACUGAGACACGGCCCAG
Molecule: ribosomal RNA, 232 nt
Filed under: uncultured bacterium
Lineage: Bacteria
Description: partial 16S ribosomal RNA
Rfam family: Bacterial small subunit ribosomal RNA
Source: RNAcentral